CCUGCACUAAAGCAAGAAUACCCGCCGAACUUAAGCAUAUCAUUAAGCGGAGGAAAAGAAACUAACCAGGAUUCCCCCAGUAACAGCGAGCGAACAGGGACGAGCCCAUCCAUGAAGCACCGCGCGCGCGACGGACGCUUGCUCGGUGCCCUUUGGGGUUACUGAGGCCACGCUAUCCUGAUCAGCCGCAUCACGGUGAAGUUACAUUGAAGGUUACAACCAGAGAGGGUGCCAGUCCCGUAACCGUGAUGCGCUGCCGUGUGCCCAACCCCCGGUCGGUAAUACGACGGGGAACGGCGUAUCAGCCCCGUAGCCUCAAGAGAGUCGAGCUGCUUGAGAGUGCAGCUCAAAGAAGGUGGUAGCUCCCAUCUAAGGCUAAAUACAUGCAAGAGGCCGAUAGCGAACAAGUACCGCGAGGGAAAGAUGAAAUAGCACCCCGGGAAGGGGGGUGAAAAGAUCCUGAAAUCAGCAAGGUGGAAGCAUUCGCGGAUACCAUUCUGCCUGCCGCAUAGCCCGGGUUUGAUCGCUCGGGUCGCGUCACGGAUCCAGUACCGAUCAUGAAGGCCGGGAGCUACCCGUCACGCGUGACGGGUCGUGCACUCCCCCGCCCACCCGAUCGCGGUAACGCAGUCGACACCGGUGGAUGUAUCACCGGUGUGCACGUACUGGGGAAAUAUCCAUGAAUGACCCGUCUUGUAACACGGACCAAGGAGUCUAAC
Molecule: ribosomal RNA, 719 nt
Filed under: Lotharella oceanica
Lineage: Eukaryota; Cercozoa; Chlorarachniophyceae
Description: partial Eukaryotic large subunit ribosomal RNA
Rfam family: Eukaryotic large subunit ribosomal RNA
Source: RNAcentral